Molecule: long non-coding RNA, 346 nt
Filed under: Chinchilla lanigera (long-tailed chinchilla)
Lineage: Eukaryota; Metazoa; Chordata; Mammalia; Rodentia; Chinchillidae
Description: lncRNA (ENSCLAG00000024376.1)
Source: RNAcentral
UCAAGUGGAGCAGGGAGAGGGGGAGCACAUCCACCUGGCAGAGGGAGUGUGUGUAAAAGUCCUGAGCAGGUGUGGCCACGGUGCUUGGCCAGCCAAGAGCGGUAAGUGAGUGGGAAAGACCUGCAAAGGAAAACAGAAGGAAAAGGCAAUCCUCAAACACUUGAUGCAUGACCUGCUUUCUCCAAGUGGUGUCUUAAUGAUCACCUUCCUUCGGCUUCUCCUCUUUUUUAAUAUCAAAACAUACACAGACUUGGCUCUACAGGAUCCUCCACAACUGCCUUCUGCACGACCUUCACACCAGACCAGAGGUUGCUACACCCCAACUGCAGUACUUGUAUUUCAAUGA